UUCAGCACCCAUGUCACCCUGCAGUUCACAUCUGGCAACCCACUGAAGCUCAGCAGGUGUGAGCCUGGUCAGUACCUGGAUGGGAGACCUCCUGGGAAAAACUAAGGUUGCUGCUGGAA
Ribosomal RNA from Lepisosteus oculatus (spotted gar), 119 nucleotides. The record is from Rfam. NCBI's taxonomy places the organism in Eukaryota, Metazoa, Chordata, Actinopteri, Semionotiformes, Lepisosteidae.